GGGACCCGGAGACAGCAUGAGUCUCAGCGCGCAGUCAGCAGAGGCGGUCCUGGCGCCAGGGUCCCAUGGAAUUCAGACAAGGAAGUAAAGCAAAUGAGAAUGGCCCACAGGGGAGCAGUUCAAAUGCGCAGAAAAAGAUAGAGCAGCCCCAAUGAGGAAGGAAGGCUGGACAAGAAAUGGAUUUGUAGGGAAGACAAUGUGCACCCAUCGGAGCUCUGAUUGCUUUACUUUCACUACCCUCCCCUGCCCACUAACAUCGAAAAAGUAUCAAUGGCAAAUUUGUGAACAUGGCAUAUGGCAUACGAACACCCUGAGAGUAGGAUCGUGGGGCAUCCGAUGGUGAUUGUCCUUAGAGUUGGUGGGGGCCCAGCUUCCCGCUGUCUGUGAACUGCUGCGUGCAGAAUCGGUGUCUUCUUUAACUUCACAACGAUGCCACAAGGCAAAUAGCAUUGUCUUCACUUUCUGUGUAAGAAAACUAAGGCUGGGUGAGAGUAUGCAGAGCUGGAUCAUGGAUUUGUUUGGCUCCUUCUAGUUUGAAAACCUGUGAGUAUUUUCCUGUCUCUAAUGCUAAUCUUAGCACUGUAUUUGGAAUAAGCAUAUAAACAUAUAACCACAAUCCACUCAGGUAAUAUGCAACUAAAUUAUAAAUAAAUGCUCAAUGAGAUUAUGAGUGAUUGAAUGAGCUAUAUAUAAGAAUAAUAACUGGUGGAAGUGUUAUUCAUAGGAUAAAGGAGAAAUCAUUUAAAUGGCUAACAGUAUAAGGAGGGUUAAAUCAAGCACCCAGGUGUGGAAAUAGCUGAUUUACAUAUAUAGUUUAUGCCAUGUAAAACGUUUAUGAUCUAAUAUUGGAUGAAAAAACAGAAACAACAUUUUAUAUACAGUAUAAUCUAAAAUGUCUACAUUUCAUUAAAAAUGCAAGAAUAUAAUUAUCAAAAUUUGAGUGAUAAAAUUAUGAAUGAUUUUUCUUUGUCUUAUAACUCAU
RNAcentral lists this long non-coding RNA (982 nucleotides) under Homo sapiens (human). Its description in RNAcentral is "HSALNT0082913". Lineage: Eukaryota; Metazoa; Chordata; Mammalia; Primates; Hominidae. The record is from RNAcentral.